Molecule: microRNA precursor, 124 nt
Filed under: Hordeum vulgare
Lineage: Eukaryota; Viridiplantae; Streptophyta; Magnoliopsida; Poales; Poaceae
Description: microRNA MIR1122
Rfam family: MIR1120/MIR1122 microRNA precursor family
Source: RNAcentral
UAUAUACUCCCUCCGUUCGGAAAUACUUGUCCUAGAAAUAGAUGUAUCUAGACUUAUUUUAGUUAUAGAUACAUUCAUUUUAUACAUUUUUAAGACAAGUAUUUCCGGAUGGAGGGAGUAUUAA